Molecule: unclassified non-coding RNA, 229 nt
Filed under: uncultured fungus
Lineage: Eukaryota; Fungi
Description: sequence contains ITS1, 5.8S rRNA gene
Rfam family: 5.8S ribosomal RNA (bases 181-229)
Source: RNAcentral
UCUCCGUAGGUGAACCUGCGGAGGGAUCAUUACCGAGUGAGGGUCCUUGUGGCCCGACCUCCAACCCCCUGUCUUCCGACUCUGUUGCCUCGGGGGCGACCCGGCCCUCUGGGCGUCGGGGCCCCCGGGGUCAAUCAAACACUGCAUUCUCUGCGUCGGAGUAUUAGUAAAUCUAAUCAAAACUUUCAACAACGGAUCUCUUGGUUCUGGCAUCGAUGAAGAACGCAGC